Molecule: ribosomal RNA, 519 nt
Filed under: uncultured bacterium
Lineage: Bacteria
Description: bacterial SSU rRNA
Rfam family: Bacterial small subunit ribosomal RNA
Source: RNAcentral
AAUUAACGCUGGCGGCAUGCGUAACACAUGCAAGUCGUACGAGAAAGCCAGGUUCGCCGGGCGAGUAAAGUGGCGCACGGGUGAGUAACGCGUGGGUAAUCUACCUCGGUCUGGGGGAUAACGCACCGAAAGGUACGCUAAUACCGCAUAAUCCGACGGACUCCUGAGUCUGUUGGGAAAGGUGGCCUCUACAUGUAAGCUACCGAACCGAGAUGAGCCCGCGUCCUAUUAGCUUGUUGGUGGGGUAAAGGCCUACCAAGGCGACGAUGGGUAGCUGGUCUGAGAGGACGGCCAGCCACACUGGAACUGGUACACGGUCCAGACUCCUACGGGAGGCAGCAGUGAGGAAUAUUGCGCAAUGGGGGAAACCCUGACGCAGCGAUGCCGCGUGGGUGAAGAAGGCCUUUGGGUCGUAAAGCCCUGUCAAACGGGAAGAACAGUCUGGGGACGAAUAAUCCUCAGGCCUGACGGUACCGUUGAAGGAAGCACCGGCUAACUCCGUGCCAGCAGCCGCGGUAA